This 23-nucleotide microRNA is filed under the name Haemonchus contortus (barber pole worm). Its description in RNAcentral is "hco-miR-5907". The record is from miRBase by way of RNAcentral. Lineage: Eukaryota; Metazoa; Nematoda; Chromadorea; Rhabditida; Trichostrongylidae.
UGAACCCUUUGUCGUGACAUCGA